This 343-nucleotide unclassified non-coding RNA is filed under the name soil metagenome. RNAcentral describes it as "partial contains 5.8S ribosomal RNA, internal transcribed spacer 2, and large subunit ribosomal RNA". The stretch from base 1 to 120 matches the Rfam family "5.8S ribosomal RNA", at positions 35 to 154 of the family's 154-position model. The record is from RNAcentral.
GAUGAAGAACGCAGCGAAAUGCGAUACGUAAUGUGAAUUGCAGAAUUCAGUGAAUCAUCGAGUCUUUGAACGCACAUUGCGCCCUCUGGUAUUCCGGAGGGCAUGCCUGUCCGAGCGUCAUUGCUGCCCUCAAGCACGGCUUGUGUGUUGGGCCCCGCCCCCCGAUCCCGGGGGGCGGGCCCGAAAGGCAGCGGCGGCACCGCGUCCGGUCCUCGAGCGUAUGGGGCUUUGUCACCCGCUCUGUAGGCCCGGCCGGCGCUUGCCGAUCAACCAAACUUUUUUCCAGGUUGACCUCGGAUCAGGUAGGGAUACCCGCUGAACUUAAGCAUAUCAAUAGCGGGGA